RNAcentral lists this ribosomal RNA (662 nucleotides) under Escherichia coli. RNAcentral's name for it is "partial 23S ribosomal RNA". It matches the Rfam family "Bacterial large subunit ribosomal RNA", at positions 2269 to 2925 of the family's 2925-position model. The record is from RNAcentral. RNAcentral also lists the same sequence under 3 other names. Lineage: Bacteria; Pseudomonadati; Pseudomonadota; Gammaproteobacteria; Enterobacterales; Enterobacteriaceae.
UUUGACUGGGGCGGUCUCCUCCUAAAGAGUAACGGAGGAGCACGAAGGUUGGCUAAUCCUGGUCGGACAUCAGGAGGUUAGUGCAAUGGCAUAAGCCAGCUUGACUGCGAGCGUGACGGCGCGAGCAGGUGCGAAAGCAGGUCAUAGUGAUCCGGUGGUUCUGAAUGGAAGGGCCAUCGCUCAACGGAUAAAAGGUACUCCGGGGAUAACAGGCUGAUACCGCCCAAGAGUUCAUAUCGACGGCGGUGUUUGGCACCUCGAUGUCGGCUCAUCACAUCCUGGGGCUGAAGUAGGUCCCAAGGGUAUGGCUGUUCGCCAUUUAAAGUGGUACGCGAGCUGGGUUUAGAACGUCGUGAGACAGUUCGGUCCCUAUCUGCCGUGGGCGCUGGAGAACUGAGGGGGGCUGCUCCUAGUACGAGAGGACCGGAGUGGACGCAUCACUGGUGUUCGGGUUGUCAUGCCAAUGGCACUGCCCGGUAGCUAAAUGCGGAAGAGAUAAGUGCUGAAAGCAUCUAAGCACGAAACUUGCCCCGAGAUGAGUUCUCCCUGAGACUUAGAGUCUCCUGAAGGAACGUUGAAGACGACGACGUUGAUAGGCCGGGUGUGUAAGCGCAGCGAUGCGUUGAGCUAACCGGUACUAAUGAACCGUGAGGCUUAACCUU